This is a long non-coding RNA of Orcinus orca (killer whale), 5209 nucleotides long. RefSeq lists it as uncharacterized. The transcript is spliced from 2 exons. NCBI's taxonomy places the organism in Eukaryota, Metazoa, Chordata, Mammalia, Artiodactyla, Delphinidae. The record is from RefSeq and is a predicted model, not a curated record.
AGGGAGGAGAUAUGGGGAUAUAUGUAUAUGUAUAGCUGAGUCACUUUGUUAUAAAGCAGAAACUAACACACCAUUGUAAAGCAAUUAUACUCCAAGAAAGAUGUUUAAAAAAAAAAAAAAGAGUUCGCCUGCCAAUGCAGGAGACAUGGGUUUGGUCCCUGGUCCAGGAGGAUCCCACGUGCUGUGGAGCAACUAAGCCCGUGCACCACAACUACUGAGCCUGCACUCUAGAGCCUGCGAGCCGCAACUACUGAAGCCCGCGCGCUGAGAGCCCGUGCUCCGCAACAAGAGAAGCCACCACAAUGAGAAGCCCAUGCACCACAACGAAGAGUAGCCCCCGCUCGCCGCAACUAGGGAAAGCCCGCGUGUGGCAAUGAAGACCCAACACAGCCCAAAAAAAAAAAAAAAAAAAAAAGAUGGCUCAACAGCUCAAUCACAGAAAGGGUAGGGCAUCAGAUGUGAGGGAACCAGGGAAAACAUCCCUCCCUCAUCCUGCCUCCUCCUCCCACAGUCCUUCUCUCUGGCUAACUCUCUACAAGGAUGCUUUCUUCUCUCUCCCUGCAGAUAGGGGUUGUCCCCAACAGGGUGGUGCCGCAGCCUCACAUUUCCCAUCUUCUAUCUCUCUCAUUCUCUGUCUUCUUGACUGGCUUAGCCUCCUACCUGGCCAUCAAAUGUUGGAGUUCCUCGAGGCUCUAUCCUAGGUCCUCUUACUUCCUCCCUCAGAGAUCCUCACAGUUUUAAUCACCAUCUCUACUUAGAGGGUUCCCAUAUUUAUUCUCCAACACAGACCUUUCUCCACGCUCUAGGCCUAUGUAGCCAAUUGCCUACCUGGUGUCUACUCUUGGGUAUCUCAAAGGCAUCUGAAAUUUUCCCCUUCUUUCCUGGUAACAAAAUCCCCAUGUUGUUGGAGGCAACGUACCUGGCUGAAAAGAUCACAUUUUCCCCCUUCCCUUUGCAGUCACGGGUGGACAACAAGAUGUAUGCAGAAGUAAUUAAGUUGAGCUUCUAGGGGAAGUCCUUUAUAAAAGGCUGACUCAGCUGGAAGUUUUGCCAUUUUUGCCCUUAUGCCUUCCUCCUCCUUCUGCCUGGAAUGUGGAUGUGAUAGCUAGUGCUCGAGCAGUCAUCUUGAGAGUAUGAGGAGAACUUGAAGAUGGAAAUGAGCACUAAAAAUGGCAGCGAGGGCUUCCCUGGUGGUGCAGUGGUUGAGAGUCCGCCUGCCGAUGCAGGGGACACGGGUUUGUGCCCUGGUCCGGGAAGAUCCCAUAUGCCGCAGAGCGGCUGGGCCCGUGAGCCAUGGCCGCUGAGCCUGCACGUCCGGAGCCUGUGCUCCAUAACGGGAGAGGCCACAACAGUGAGAGGCCCGCGUAACGCAAAAAAAAAAAAAAAAAAAAAAAGGCAGAGAAAAUGGUAGAAGGAGCUUGGGAUAAAGAUGCUUACUUUCUAUCUACAGACAACUUUUAGGUGAGAAAUGGUAAAUGUCUAUCUUAUUGAAGCCACUCCUAUUACAGGUCUCUAUAACUAGAACAAAACACAAUUCCUAACACAUAAUGGUCUCUUCCUACACCUCUAUCCUCAUCUGGCAUCAGACAGCACUCCAUCCUUCUCCCUCUUCUCAAGUCAUGCCGUCCUCUCUGCCUAUACUCACCAUGCUCUCUCCUGCCACUUAGUCUUCUCACGUGCCAUUCCCAAUGCCUAGAUCCCAGCUCAGUCAUCACUUCCUCUGAGAAGCCAGCCAUGGCCAACUUCACCCAUCACAGGUCUCAGAGUACCACCAGGCUCUUCUAUGUAGUAACUGUCCCCUUUUCCCUCCCACUAGACUAUAACCUCCAUGGAGGCAGGACUGUGUCCUUUCCUGUUAUUACCAUUGUAUCGUUUAUACCCAAGCCUAGUUUUGUAAUAAGUACUCACCUCCAAAAAAAGAAAAUAAGUGCAACAGAAAGGAGUUACUCAGGUCUCUCUGGUCCAUAUUUUUAAAAUCCUAGGGAAGAAUUCAGCUGGUUUAGUUAAGGCCAAAUUUCCACCUCAGGCCAAGAGCCAGGUCUGUAAGAAUAUGGCAGCCCUCAUUCAAAUCACAUGUUUGGUUUAGGAAAAGAAACAAUUCCAAAAGAGGGGAAAGGGGAUAGGUACAUGUAACAAUAAAUGUCCACCCCUUUAAGGCCAUCUUCCGUGCUUAUUGCAACCUGCUUUUACCUGGAGGGGAAGGUGGAGGAAGGAGGGUUCACAAUAUAAUUUGGCUCAGGUCUUGCAUGACCUGGGAGGGGACCUGGUCCCCAAACUAUUGUGUAUAAUAAGGGGGCCACUUUGGUACAUUCCCUCAGGGUCUAUUCCCAUUGUAGUCCAUAGGUCAUGAGAAUAAGAGUGAAAAUUCUUGUUUUAUCCAAUUUUAUGUCUUCCAUUCAAUUCAACAACGCUUGAAAUAUAAGCUCUUCACGAGUCAAAUUCCUUCCCCUCUGGCCCCUGCUGCCCUCUCUGACUUCCUCCUAUUUCUCAAUGUCUGAGCUCAGCCCUGCCUCGGGGACUUUGCACUGCUGUUUGCUCUGCCCUCAACUCUCUGUCCCUAGAUCUUGGUGAGGCUGGCUCCUGGGGAGGCCAAGCCAACAGGGCUGCUGUGCCUACUUCUGCAGUUCAUACGAUGCACAAAGGUGGUGGACUAAGGGCUGAAACUCAGUCCCAGUGCUGCCCACCAAGCUGUGUGCUCUGAGGAAGAGGAGCGUUUUUCUUCACCAAAGAGCAUCGUGUAGCAAAUCAAGGGUCCUUGGGGCUGCAUCUGGCCAGACAGGAGAUCUUUGUCUCAUGUGUACACAAGCCAUGUAAGCCUAGUGGUAGCCCAUGGCUAGAGGGCCUUCUCAUCAGAGCUGGACAGUUUUUUCCUCUACUGGAUGAGGAUGACCCUGGGGCUAAAUUGACACUGAAGCUGAAAACCUUGCGACUGACGGAAGGUGGAGAGAGCGCUGUGGGGCGAUCCUGAAAGGAAGUUCUGCCUCUGCCCCGUGUCGGUGCUCUUGGUUUAGACUCUUCGUCACAUCCUCUACUUCAUUGUCCCACAAGUGUAUUCUGAGCUCCCAUCAUGUGCUGGGGGAGGGAUCAAUGGUGACCAGGCUCUGCCUUUUGGGAAUUUAAUCUAGACGGGGAAAGAUACAAAUCAAAUAAUCACACCAACAACAUUUAACAUUAAACUGUGAUGAGCCCAGCAAGGAGACGUGGGUGGGGCCUUGAGAGCUCAUGGUAGGAGGAGCUAAGUGGAGGCUGGAGUGUUGGGAAGGUUUCCUGGAGGAAGUGACUUAAGCUGAAAAUGGAAGGAUGGAUGGGUAGGAGGAGACUGUGCAGAAAAAUGAUGGGACUUGAUAUGGAAGGUAGCCUGAUCUAGAGAAGAAUAGAACCAUGAGCCCAGCUCGGAGAGCAGGUCACUCUAGUGCCCGAAGGUGUUUCAGACAAUGCUUUUGGCUUUUAAGAAUAUGCCGUUAUUCAUCACUGAGGUUACAUUUACAAAUCAUUCUGGUGAGUCAUCUUUCAGGGACUGCCAAGAGCAUGACUCAGGGGUGUGCUGGAGCAGACUCCUUUCCACUGGCCAGAGCUGAUCGUACACAUCUCUUCCCGACUCCACACUCAGUGGCGUAGCUUUGGUAGCCUGAAAUUGGUCAUGGUGGGAGUAUUUACACCAGAGGAAUUGGUGAACAAGUCAGGGCUUUUUUUCCCUGCAGAGCCGAUGUUAAACAGUUACUACUAUGCCGCUGAGCAUGAACCACUUCUCACAGCCCUGGAGAGGUUGCUCAAUUUCACAGAGAGCAUAAGUUUUCUUGAAAAGGUAGAAUUUAUGACAAAGUGACAUGGUGGCCUUUGGAUUCUGCCUGAGAUACCUGGGAAAAGAUACUGCCGACAUACCAGAGGUAUGAGGUGGAGUGUGGUUUCUGCCACUCAUGAGUGUUUCCUGGCAAUUGACUUCCAAGAAGCAGAACCUCAUAAAUGCUGUAACUUGAGGGUGAUAGAGGUAGUAGGACUGGGCCAGUCAGCAUGCUUGCCGACUCCCUCCAUGGUCAGAGACUUUUACCAGGUCCAGGGGCCAAAUAGUAAGAGCACCCAAGACUGCAGCCCUCCCCUCUGGGGACUAGCAGUUGGUUCACAGCGUAGGUCAGAUACAAAUUAUGUGUGUAAUUCGAUCCCCUGCUGUCUUUUACCGUAGGGGUUUAGGGAGGGCUUGAUUCAGAUGAAAGUUUCCUGAGAGCAUGGACUGACUUAGCCUCACGUUCCGCACAGCAUCCAACCCAGCGCCUGGCACACAGCAAUCUCUCCCUAGAUGCUGGCUUUCAUAUCAGUGCACCCCAUGAAAGAGAACCCAGAAAGUUUACACAGCUAGAUGGCCUGUUUACCCCAGGCCUUUGUUUGUCCUUAUGCCAGCCUUUCUGGCAACUUCCCUUUAUCUUGCUAAACUCAGCUUGGGGGAACUUGAGACACCGUCCCUGGUCCCCGAGACUGGGGUGGGGCUGCUGCCUGCACUGUGCAGCGUAUCCCCAGUUCCUGUCCUCCCAGGUCGUUCUGCCCACCUCAUCUGCUGUGCGUGUCUACAUCUCAUCCAUCCUUCCAGCCCUGGCCCCUCAGUAUUUGGAACAAAAUAGGUGCCCAGUAAAUAUUUGAUGUGUGAAUGAGGAGCUGAAGCUAGUGCAAACAACUUACAUUUCAGGAAAGCCACACUUAAGAAGCUCCUUCUGCAUGCCAAGCAUAUGACUGGUAGCAGACUAUGCCUCCCCCAAAUAUGCCACUCUGGUAUAAAAAUGAUUCUGAACUGCCAGCAAUUGAGAAGAAGCAGAUGUAAGAAAAGCUCUCUGUCCUCUCCCCAUUUGCCUAAAAGCAGGACAGAAGUUUAUAAAGGUGUCCCUUUCCCCUCUCUACCAGAAAGGACAGAAGUUCAUCACUGGAAAUACCUCUAGACCCUUAUCAGCUCAGAGGUGGCACCGGAGGAAUCUAUAUAACAAACUUUACUAACAAGACUUUGUCUUUCAUUCGUUCCCCCAUGUAUUUGUCUUCCCACAACUUGCUGCCCUAGAAAUUCAAAGUCCUUUUCCUUUUCUUAUCACUUCUCAAAGUGUGUUGUUCUUUUGUUAAGAUGCCACCUAGCCCGAGUUGUAACCACCCCUCUGAGUUACACAUCACUGGGUACUCCCAUAGGUAUGUGCAAUGCACAUGUUAAUAAACUUCUGUUUGUUUCUCUCUU